This 498-nucleotide ribosomal RNA is filed under the name uncultured organism. RNAcentral's name for it is "SSU rRNA". It matches the Rfam family "Bacterial small subunit ribosomal RNA", at positions 1 to 509 of the family's 1533-position model. The record is from RNAcentral.
AACAGCUAGAGUUUGAUCCUGGCUCAGGAUGAACGCUGGCGGCGUGCCUAACACAUGCAAGUCGAACGGAGUAACGAGAGUUUACUUUUGUUGCUUAGUGGCGGACGGGUGAGUAAUGCGUGAGCAACCUGCCUUUCAGAGGGGGACAACAGUUGGAAACGACUGCUAAUACCGCAUAACAUACACGGAUGGCAUCGUCUGUGUAUCAAAGGAGCAAUCCGCUGAAAGAUGGGCUCACGUCUGAUUAGCUGGUUGGCGGGGUAACGGCCCACCAAGGCGACGAUCAGUAGCCGGACUGAGAGGUUGAACGGCCACAUUGGGACUGAGAUACGGCCCAGACUCCUACGGGAGGCAGCAGUGGGGAAUAUUGGGCAAUGGGCGAAAGCCUGACCCAGCAACGCCGCGUGAAGGAAGAAGGUCUUCGGAUUGUAAACUUCUUUUAUGAGGGACGAAGGACGUGACGGUACCUCAUGAAUAAGCCACGGCUAACUACGUGCC